Molecule: ribosomal RNA, 253 nt
Filed under: uncultured bacterium
Lineage: Bacteria
Description: partial 16S ribosomal RNA
Rfam family: Bacterial small subunit ribosomal RNA
Source: RNAcentral
UACGUAGGGGGCUAGCGUUGUCCGGAAUCAUUGGGCGUAAAGAGCGCGUAGGCGGCCAGAUAAGUCCGGUGUGAAAGUCAAAGGCUCAACCUUUGAAUGCCGCUGGAAACUGUCUGGCUAAAGUCCGGGAGGGGCGAGUGGAAUUCCUGGUGUAGCGGUGAAAUGCGCAGAUAUCAGGAGGAACACCAAUGGCGAAGGCAGCUCGCUGGAACGGUACUGACGCUGAGGCGCGAAAGCGUGGGGAGCGAACAGG